This 159-nucleotide ribosomal RNA is filed under the name uncultured bacterium. RNAcentral's name for it is "partial 16S ribosomal RNA". It matches the Rfam family "Bacterial small subunit ribosomal RNA", at positions 1125 to 1283 of the family's 1533-position model. The record is from RNAcentral.
AUUCAGUUGGGCACUNUAGCGAGACCGCCGGUGAUAAACCGGAGGAAGGUGUGGAUGACGUCAAGUCAUCAUGCCCCUUACAUCCUGGGNUACACACGUNNUACAAUGCUNCGGACAAAGGGCAGCAAACUCGCGAGAGNUAGCAAAUCCCAUAAACCG